This 101-nucleotide small nuclear RNA is filed under the name Nannospalax galili (Upper Galilee mountains blind mole rat). The record is from RNAcentral. Lineage: Eukaryota; Metazoa; Chordata; Mammalia; Rodentia; Spalacidae.
GUGUUUAUUUUAGCAGCACUAAAAUUGAAAUGAUACAGAGAAGGCUAGCAUGGCCUCUGUAGAAGGAUGCUGUGCAGAUCUGUGAAGUGUUCCAUAUUAAU